Molecule: ribosomal RNA, 495 nt
Filed under: uncultured bacterium
Lineage: Bacteria
Description: partial 16S ribosomal RNA
Rfam family: Bacterial small subunit ribosomal RNA
Source: RNAcentral
GAUGAACGCUGGCGGCGUGCCUAAUACAUGCAAGUAGAACGCUGAAGGAGGAGCUUGCUCUUCUGGAUGAGUUGCGAACGGGUGAGUAACGCGUAGGUAACCUGCCCGGUAGCGGGGGAUAACUAUGGGAAACGAUAGCUAAUACCGCAUGACAACAGUUAUUGCAUGAUAACUGUUUAAAAGGGGCAACUGCUCCACUACCAGAUGGACCUGCGUUGUAUUAGCUAGUUGGUGAGGUAACGGCUCACCAAGGCGACGAUACAUAGCCGACCUGAGAGGGUGAUCGGCCACACUGGGACUGAGACACGGCCCAGACUCCUACGGGAGGCAGCAGUAGGGAAUCUUCGGCAAUGGACGGAAGUCUGACCGAGCAACGCCGCGUGAGUGAAGAAGGUUUUCGGAUCGUAAAGCUCUGUUGUAAGAGAAGAACGAGUGUGAGAGUGGAAAGUUCACACUGUGACGGUAUCUUACCAGAAAGGGACGGCUAACUACGUG